GCAUUCAUGGCUGAGUGGUUAAAGCGCCCAAUUCAUAGCUGGUAAUUUGCGGGUUCAAUUCCCGCUGGAUGCA
This is a non-coding RNA of Triticum urartu, 73 nucleotides long. Lineage: Eukaryota; Viridiplantae; Streptophyta; Magnoliopsida; Poales; Poaceae. The record is from Rfam.